This 986-nucleotide long non-coding RNA is filed under the name Nicotiana benthamiana. Its description in RNAcentral is "long non-coding RNA (NBEN_LNC036232)". Lineage: Eukaryota; Viridiplantae; Streptophyta; Magnoliopsida; Solanales; Solanaceae. The record is from RNAcentral.
GUGAGGAAGAGCGAUUAUGAACGGAGGGUCAUUCCGUGCCAUGUUUUGAUAAUUAUGCACGAAGGGUCAUUCCGUGUCAUGUUUUAAAUAAUUGAGCAUGAAGGUUCUGUGCCUUUAUAUGAGAGUAAGUUGAGGAAAAAUACGAAGGGUAAUGCCGUGCACUUUAUUUAACUGUUUUGGUGAGAAAGAGAGUAAAAGCAUGAAGGUUGGUGUCGUGCAGUUGUUGAUUUACCUGUUCUCUUUAAUUGAUGUUGUUGUACGGUUUCAUUUCUUUGUUCGUUGAUCCUAUAUCUGAAUUGUUAGACCCUAUAGCAUGCUCCCAUCUCUAGUAGCUGUAUAUUGUUUUCUACCUAUUGCAUAUAUAUCUGCACAAGUUAUUUUCGGUAGGUCCUAUCUAGACUCGUUACUGCUUCGUCGGGGUUAGGCUAAGCACUUACCAGCACAUGUGUUCGGUUGUGCUUAUGCUACACUCUAUGCAUCUCUUUGCACAGAUCCAAGAGCGACAUUUGGACCACAACAACAGCAAUGAUCGGGAGCUAACUUCAGUCCAUGGACUUGCGAGGUAACCUAGUUGACGUCCGCAGGCCGGAGUCCCUUUAUCUUUGUUAGUUUGUUUUCUUUGUAUCGAGACAAACACUGAUGUAUUUCAUUCAGACUUUUACUUUAUUUCUCUAAAGUAGUUCGUGAGUAGUGACACCAGACUCUGGGUAGAGGUGUAUUCAGACUUCCACAUUUUUAUUUUCAGUUAUAUAAAUUUAAAGACUUCCGCCUUAUUUAAUUGUUUCGUUUUAUCUAUAGUAUCGCGAAUGUUAUUUGAAAAUGUUUAAAUUUUGGCUUGCCUAGCUCCUCAUAAUAGGUGCCAUCACGACUUCCGAUGCUGAAAAAUAAUAUAUAUUGACGAAAUUAGCGACCAAGUGGCGACCAAUCUUGGUCGCUAAUGUAUUUCAAAUAUUUAUUUCAUUAUUUUUACUAAUCUAGCGACCAAU